This is a long non-coding RNA of Chinchilla lanigera (long-tailed chinchilla), 3340 nucleotides long. The record is from Ensembl. Lineage: Eukaryota; Metazoa; Chordata; Mammalia; Rodentia; Chinchillidae.
GAAUCCACAGACUGGUCUGGCGGGUGGCUGGUCACUGACUGCAUGGAGCAAGGCUCUUCUCUAAUGCUGCUGAACAGAGAGGAAAGAGAAUCAGUGGGAUCCCAAAGCCACUAAAGGAAAGGGAAGUUUAUGAAGCCACUGAGAACCCAGAAAUCCAGCAAUCUCUUCUAAUACCAAGAUGUCCCUCCUUAUUACACCAGCCACGGGCCAUGGAUUAGCACCAGUCUGCAGGAUCACGUCCAGGCUUGUUUUUCUGGUGUCCAGGAGCAAGACUUCUCCUCUCAGAAGUCACCUACACCCUUCACACAGUCAGGAUAAUGUGGUUCAGAUCCCUGCCCGCACUUGGCCUGGCUGCUUAGGCCCCUCCAAUAACUUCCCAUUUCCUGCAACACUGAGCCCAACGCCCCUCAAGCCUUGCACCCCACCCAUCAGACCAGUCCACUUUCCUUCCCUCCGAAGUGGACUGCUAGGCAGAUUAAAGCUCACCAUCCCCUCCAUCUGGGGGAGAUGCACUGGCUCUUCCCUCAAAUGCUUCCUAACCCCUCUGCUUGGGGACAGUCGCUACUGCAUCCAGGCCUCCUUUUCACUCCCCCCUGACUCUGACAGCCCUCUGAGGUACAUAACUGUGCUCUUCACUUCUGGUCAGUGUCUUAGCACACAAAUCUAGGACUGCAGGGCCUCUGCCCUGACUCCGUUCUGAGGCUCCUGGGCUCACUAGUCUUUAGGCAACUGAUCUGCUCCUAGAGCAAAGCAUGGGCAACAACCUCAGACAUGAACUUCAGGGAAAGGGUGUCCUCCACAUUUGGACUGUGGGCAGCUGCCAAGGGCUGGAGGCAGACCUUAUUGAAAGGAGUUCCUCCCAUCACCUCUGCCCAACCUGUCACAGGAUAAGAGAUGCAUGGGCCUGUGCCUGCCCUGUGUAAGCUCCUCUCUCCCCAAAGGGCAGAAGCCCUUUUCUCACCCCACCCCAUUCCUUAACAACUGCCUGGGAUGGAAGGUGCUGGAACCUGGAAAUAGCUUGCACACUAUCUACCUGGCCACCCUGUCUCACCUGCAGGAUGGGCAGGACAAGUGGAGCUGUCACCUGACUAGGCACCACCAUUGGGCCACAGCCAAGGGGAGGCCCGGAGGGCAGCCACACAGCACUGCACUAUAGCACAGGUGGGUGGGCAGGAAAGGCAGGGACCUCUUGCUCCCCGCAGCUGCAGGAGUCCAUGGGGAGCUUUCCUUCCUACGAAGUUCAGGCGUCAAGGUCACCCUGCCCCACUUUCAGCAACAAUCCACUGAUGCUGUUGCAGCAGAGCAGAGCCAGUUCUGAGGGCAAAGAUUCGGCUCCACUGGCAAGGUUUUAUUAAGAACAAGCAGCCAAAUCAUUAUUGAGCUUUUUUCCCCUCAGCUCAUGGCUCAGAAAUAUGCCUGUAAUAUUCUGGUAGUUUAGUCCCACAUGAUUAAGCACGGAGAUGCAUUUUUCCUCUUUCAACCAAAUGAGGGUGAGAAAAUUCAUUACUGAGCAUUUACCACGAGCCUCCAGAAAGGAAACUCUAACACUUACUGGGCUUCUAUUCAACACUGGGGCAGGGAAUCUGGCAGUUUUCUUAGUGUUCCUCAUUUAAUCCUCCUCACGAUCCUAUGAGUUAUUAUCCCCAAGGUCGCAGAGCCAGCAAGUGGUAGAGCUGGGUACAAACACAGACGUGACGCUGAGGUGGAUGCCUCACCCGCCACCUUGUGCUGGCUUAUGCAAAGGUCGGACAAGCAAAAAAAACAGCAGAGCUCUAAAGGUAGGUUGUGGUUGGCUGGGCAGUUAGCAGGACUGCAUGUGGGAGGGCAGGUGGGGAGCAGGGUUCCUCUGAGCAGAGGGAACAGUGUGAGCAAACACAGAGGCUAGGAGAUAAAAAGCUUGUGAGAAGGGACAGGAGGCAGGAGGACAGGUUAUGGGGGACACAUGAAGGCCCCUCAGUCUGAGCUUUGUCUCAGAGAAAAUGGAGCUGGAUACAGUGUGUGAAGAGAGGGGUAGCAGGCAUUGUUCAGGAAAGCUUCAUGUGACUACAGGGUUGAGUUAAACCAAAUUGUCUCCAAGACGAGCCAUGGGGGGAGCGGAGGGGCAAGGGCAGAGCCAAGACUUGGGGGCAGGGUCAGGCGGCACAGGGCAGAGUGGCCGUGGCAGGAGCCUGGAUCUCCUGAGGCAGUGGGAGCCCCAGACAAGUCAGAAGUCAAGGGAAAUGUGCCAAGUGUGGUGGCUGUCCUUUCACAACAGGUCUGCACAGUCCUGCACAGUCCUCCCCACCCUGUGCACCCUCCCUACAAGACCCUGCCACUUGGCAAGGGAUGAACAGGUGACAGAAGUGGCACUGUGUGACUUCAGAGGCCGGGUUGGAAAAGGCAGUACUGUGUCUUCACGGAGCAUGCUCAGCCCGCGUAUUUUGGAAUUCAGCCUCCAACCAGCCAGCGCGCUGUGCGGAAGCAUGACAGACCCUACCGAGGCAGCCAUGUGGCAAGAAACUGAGACUCCAGCCACCAGCCAGCACCCACAGCAGACUUGCAGGUGAGCGCGGCUGCAGGGCAUGGCUCCCACACUGCAAGCUGCCUAUGAUGACCCAUGGAAUGCACUUUCCCUGCUAUGUCCUGCUUCCAUUACAAAUCCAUGAGCAAGGUAAAAUUCUCCUUGCCUUGAGCCACCAGGUUUUGGGGUGGUUUAAUACACAGCAUUAGAUCGCCAAGGCAACAGACCCACAGGACAGAAAAAUCUCACACUGCCAUGGGAGAGUGGUCAAGAGACACUGGACUAGGGACAGGAGUCUGGCAAGACAGAGGAUCUCAGGGCUGAGGCGGCAGAGCUGGGGAGGCACGGGGAGCAAAGGAGGCUGACAGCGGCCCUGUGGCAGGCCUGAGGCUUCUUGGCACUUGGCUUUGUGACCAGCAAAUGACAGAGCCAUUUCCUAAGUUCCAGCAAACCAGAUGAGGAGCAACACCAAGGAAUCACCCUGAGUUUGGGUCACCUGUGUAAGCUUUCUUUAUAGUCAGAUCAAAGCACAAAGAGCCACACUACUCUCAGAAAAAAAUAAAAACAACCAUUCAAUCUCACGAUCAAAGGAUCAAACCUUUUUUCCUAUGAAACAAUUAUUUUCUUUUAAUUCUUUCCCAAGUUGCUGGCUCAAGGGUCUUGCAGACUCGUGUGCUGUCUAGAAGAGCUGAGCCGUACCCCAUGCAAUCACACAAGCACAGGACGGACUGACUGCUGGCCCUUCAUAAUCAGUACGAGUGCCACCUCUUACCUAGGAGACCACUUGCCCUUAGCCUCCCGUGAGCCUGGCCCUAUCUUGGUGGUAGGUGCCACGUAAAC